This 253-nucleotide ribosomal RNA is filed under the name uncultured bacterium. Its description in RNAcentral is "partial 16S ribosomal RNA". It matches the Rfam family "Bacterial small subunit ribosomal RNA", at positions 524 to 776 of the family's 1533-position model. The record is from RNAcentral.
UACGUAGGGUCCGAGCGUUGUCCGGAAUUACUGGGCGUAAAGCGCGCGCAGGCGGCCCGCGAGGUGUCACGUGAAAGCCCCGGGCUCAACCCGGGAGGGUCGUGGCAAACCGGCGGGCUUGAGGCCGGUAGAGGUGGGUGGAACUCCUGGUGGAGUGGUGAAAUGCGUAGAGAUCCGGAGGAACACCGACGGCGUAGGCAGCGCCCUAGACGAGACCUGACGCUCAGGCACGAAAGCGCGGGGAGCGAACAGG